UUUUGAUGCCUUGAUCUUCAUAUGGUUUUCUUGGGUAUUGCUUAUGCUUGUUGCUUGCUAAAAUCCAAAGGAAAAUGGGUUUCUAUAUGAAAUUCUUGUCUGUUGGAUUGCAUCCCAUUGGUCAGACCUUUUCAACCUUUAACUUUUAAUUUUUGUCUAGGAUAGUCCCUUCAUCUCCUCCCACUUCUUAAAUUUAAAAAUCUCUUCCUCUUUUC
Molecule: long non-coding RNA, 215 nt
Filed under: Lathyrus oleraceus (garden pea)
Lineage: Eukaryota; Viridiplantae; Streptophyta; Magnoliopsida; Fabales; Fabaceae
Description: Pisum sativum (pea) long non-coding RNA (PSAT_LNC029797)
Source: RNAcentral